RNAcentral lists this ribosomal RNA (384 nucleotides) under uncultured Cryptomonas. RNAcentral's name for it is "partial small subunit ribosomal RNA". It matches the Rfam family "Eukaryotic small subunit ribosomal RNA", at positions 30 to 432 of the family's 1831-position model. Lineage: Eukaryota; Cryptophyceae; Cryptomonadales; Cryptomonadaceae. The record is from RNAcentral.
GCUUGUCUCAAAGAUUAAGCCAUGCAUGUCUUAGUGUAAAUAACUCUUAUGAAACUGCGAAUGGCUCAUUAAAUCAGUUAUCAAAUACGUGAUGGUCGCCUACUACAUGGAUAACCGUAGUAAUUCUAGAGCUAAUACAUGCACAAAGGCCCACUCACGUGGGUUGUGAUUAUUAGAUUCAAACCGGCCUCGUUCUGGUGAUUCAUAAUAAUUGGUCGAACCGCAUGCCCUUGUGGUGGCGGUGAUUCAUCCUUAUUUCUGCCCUAUCAGUUGUGGAUGGUAGGGUAUUGGCCUACCAUGACUUUAACGGGUAACGGAGAAUUAGGGUUCGAUUCCGGAGAGGGAGCCUGAGAAAUGGCUACCACAUCCAAGGAAGGCAGCAGG